RNAcentral lists this ribosomal RNA (451 nucleotides) under uncultured cyanobacterium. Its description in RNAcentral is "bacterial SSU rRNA". It matches the Rfam family "Bacterial small subunit ribosomal RNA", at positions 8 to 505 of the family's 1533-position model. Lineage: Bacteria; Bacillati; Cyanobacteriota. The record is from RNAcentral.
AGAGUUUGAUCAUGGCUCAGGAUGAACGCUGGCGGUAUGCUUAACACAUGCAAGUCGAACGGUCUCUUCGGAGAUAGUGGCGGACGGGUGAGUAACGCGUGAGAAUCUGCCUUCAGGUUGGGGACAACAACUGGAAACGGUUGCUAAUACCCAAUGUGCCGAGAGGUGAAAGCUUUAGUGCCUGAAGAUGAGCUCGCGUCUGAUUAGCUAGUUGGAGUGGUAAGAGCACCCCAAGGCAACGAUCAGUAGCUGGUCUGAGAGGAUGAUCAGCCACACUGGGACUGAGACACGGCCCAGACUCCUACGGGAGGCAGCAGUGGGGAAUUUUCCGCAAUGGGCGAAAGCCUGACGGAGCAAUACCGCGUGAGGGAGGAAGGCUCUUGGGUCGUAAACCUCUUUUGUCAGGGAAGAACACAAUGACGGUACCUGACGAAUCAGCUCGAUUCCCCCG